GACGCAACGCGAAGAACCUUACCAAGGCUUGACAUACACCGGAAACGUCCAGAGAUGGGCGCCCCCUUGUGGUCGGUGUACAGGUGGUGCAUGGCUGUCGUCAGCUCGUGUCGUGAGAUGUUGGGUUAAGUCCCGCAACGAGCGCAACCCUUGUCCCGUGUUGCCAGCAGGCCCUUGUGGUGCUGGGGACUCACGGGAGACCGCCGGGGUCAACUCGGAGGAAGGUGGGGACGACGUCAAGUCAUCAUGCCCCUUAUGUCUUGGGCUGCACACGUGCUACAAUGGCCGGUACAAUGAGCUGCGAUACCGUGAGGUGGAGCGAAUCUCAAAAAGCCGGU
Molecule: ribosomal RNA, 338 nt
Filed under: Streptomyces sp.
Lineage: Bacteria; Bacillati; Actinomycetota; Actinomycetes; Kitasatosporales; Streptomycetaceae
Description: bacterial SSU rRNA
Rfam family: Bacterial small subunit ribosomal RNA
Source: RNAcentral